RNAcentral lists this unclassified non-coding RNA (376 nucleotides) under soil metagenome. Its description in RNAcentral is "partial contains 5.8S ribosomal RNA, internal transcribed spacer 2, and large subunit ribosomal RNA". The stretch from base 1 to 120 matches the Rfam family "5.8S ribosomal RNA", at positions 35 to 154 of the family's 154-position model. The record is from RNAcentral.
GAUGAAGAACGUAGCGAAAUGCGAUAAGUAAUGUGAAUUGCAUAAUUCAGUGAAUCAUCGAAUCUUUGAACGCAUCUUGCGCUCCUUGGUAUUCUGAGGAGCAUGCCUGUUUGAGUGUCAUUAAAUUCUCAACUACACUGACUUUGAAUUGGUGUGGCUUGGAUUUGGGGGGAAAAUUGUUGUGGGCUUUUUGUAUAGUCUGCUCCCCUGAAAUUGAUUAGCGGUACCUUUGUGGAACUGUCUACAGGUGUGAUAAUUAUCUACAUCUUAGACAUCUGCUGGAAUGCUGCUUUCUAAACCUUACUUGUAUUGACAAUCUUGACCUCAAAUCAGGUAGGACUACCCGCUGAACUUAAGCAUAUCAAUAAGCGGAGGA